UUUUUUUUUUAUUUUUUGCUUUUUAGGGAUGCACCCCUGGCAUGUGGAAGUUCCCAGGCUAGGGGUUGAAUUGGAGCUGAAGCUGCUGUUCCAUGCCACAGCCAUAUAGCAAUGCGGGUUCUGAGCGGAAUCUCUAUACCACAGCUCAUGGCGACACUGGAUUCCUAACCUACUGAGUGGGGCUAGGUAUCAAACCCAUAUCCUCAUGAAUACUAGUUGGGUCCAUUACCACUGAACCACAAAAGCAACUCCAGGUUUCAUCAUUUUUAUCACUGAAUAAUAUUGUAUAUUUAUACUUUAAUUUCUUUAUCUUUUCACCCAUCAAUGGACACUUAGGUUAUUUCCAUGUUUUGGUUAUUAUAAAUAAAGCUGGUAGGAAUGUGGGGUGCAGAUAUCUUUUCAAAUUAGUGUUUUUGUUUCCUUUGGAUAUAGUCCCAGGAGUGAAAUUGCUGGAUUAUUUGGUAGUCUAUUUUUAAUUUUUUAAUUAUUAUGAUUAAAUAAAUUUUUUUUUUGUCUUUUGUUUUUUUAGGGCAGCACCUGUGGCAUAUGGAGAUUCCCAGGCCAGAGGUCUAAUCAGAGCUGUUGUAGCUGGCCUACGCCAGAGCCACAGCAACACUGGAUCUGAGCUGCAUCUGCAACCUACACCACAGCUCACAGCAAUGCCAGAUCCUUAACCCACAGAGCGAGGCCAUGGAUCGAAUCUGCAACCUUCUGGUUCCUAGUCAGAUUCAUUUCCGCUGUGCCACGAUGGGAACUCCUAUUUUUAAUUUUUUUAAAGGAAUUUCCAAACUGUUUUCCAUAAUGGCUGCACCAGUUUACAUUCCCACCAAGUGCACAGGGUUCCCUUUCCUCCACAUCCACACCAGCAUUUAUUAUCUCUUGUCUUUUUGAUGAUAGCCAUUCUAACAGCCAUGAGACGAUAUCUCAUUGUGGUUUUAAUUUGCAUUUCCCUAAUGACUAGUGAUGUUAAGCAUCUUUUCAUGUAUCUGCUGGCCUUUUGUAUAUCUUCUUUGGAAAAAUGUCUACCUAGUUCCUUUGCCCAUUUUUCAGUUGGGUUAUUUGUGUGUGUGGAAAUGUUUGAGUUAUUUAUAUAUUUUGGAUAUUAACCUCUUAUUAGAUAUAGUUUGUAAUAUUUUUACCAUUCUAUAGGUUGUCUUUUCACUUUGUUAAUGGUUUCUUUUGCUGUAUAGAAAUUUUUUAGUUUGAUGUAAUCCCACUUGUUUUUUAUUUAAUUGGUUACACUGUAGGUAUCAUAUCCAAAAAAUCAUUUCCAAGGUCCAUUUUUAGUAUUUAAUUCCUGUUCUUUUAGUAAUUUCAUUGUUUCAGAUGUUAUAAAUCUGAGUUUUUAUUUCAUUUCAUAUUAAUUUUUGUGAGUGGUUUAAGAUGAAGGUCCAGUUUCAUUCUUUUACAUGUAAAUAUCCAGUUAUCUCCAGUCCAUUUACUGAAGAGACCGUCUUGUCUCCAUUGAGUAUUCUUGGUUCCUUGUCAAGUAUUAGUUGACCAUGUAUGCUUGAGUUAAUUUCUGGGCUCUUGAUUCUCUUUCAUUGGACUAUUUUUUCUGUCCUUAUGCUAGUACCACACUGUUUGUAUUACCAUAGCUUUAUAGUAUAUCUUGAAAACAAAGAGUAUGAUAAAGCCUCAUGCUUUUUUCUUUUUUGUUAGGAUUGCUUUAACUAUCCAGUCUUUCCUGAUUUCACAUGAAUUUUAGAAGUGUUUUUUCUAUCUCUGUGAAAAAUGCCAUUGGACUCUUGAUAGAUACUGCAUUGAAUCUUUAGAUGGCUUUUGUAGUAUUGACAUUUUAACAAUUUUACUUCUUCUAAUCCUUGAACACAAGAUACUUUCCAUUUCUUUGAUUCCUUUUAUUAGUGUCUUACAGUUUUCAGAGUAUAGAUUUUUCACCUCCUUUGUUAAAUGUAUUCUUAGGUAUUUUAUUGUCUCUGAAUGCUGUUGUAAAUGAAAUAACAUUUCUUUUUUUUUGAAAAUUCAUUGUUAGUGAAUAUAAAUGCUACUGAUUUUUGUAUGUUAAUUUUGUAUCCUACAAUUUUACUGAAGUAACUGAAUAGGUUUAACAGUGUUUUGGUUGAGUCUUUAGGACUUUCUGUAUAAAUAAUCAUGUCGUCUUCAAAUAGAGACCAUUUUACUUCUUCCUUUCCAAUUCUGAUAUUUUUGUUACCUUUUCUUGCCUAACUGCACUAGCUAUGACUUCUAGUACUAUGUUGAACAGGAGUGAUAAAAGUGGAUACCCUUGUAUCCACUAUCCUUGUAUUCCUCUAAGAUCAGGAUACCCUUCCUGAUCUUAGAGGAAAAUCUUUCAAACUUUCACCAUUGAGUAUGAUGUUAACUGCUUCUCUUACCUUUCUAAUAUAAUACAUUGGUUGCUUUGGUGCAAGGGGGUGGUUCAGCUCACCCCUCUGUUCUAAGAUUCUCUCAGUGGUGUCUUGUUCUUGAAGAGUUGUUAGUUGUUCUUCUUGUAAGGGUGGGCAAAGACAGGAAUGACCUAUGUCACUAUCUUUGUGAUGUCACUCCCAACAUGAUGUCUUGGAUGAGAGAGACCUGUCUUUUUUCCCCCUCUCCCUCUCUAAAGAGAGUAACUAAGUCACAGACCUUGGUAUUCCCUUGCCUGGGGGAAAGUUUAGAAGUCUUUGUUUUGGGUGUUCUAGUGUUCUG
RNAcentral lists this long non-coding RNA (2667 nucleotides) under Sus scrofa (pig). RNAcentral describes it as "lncRNA (ENSSSCG00025023306.1)". The record is from RNAcentral. Lineage: Eukaryota; Metazoa; Chordata; Mammalia; Artiodactyla; Suidae.